CAGCCGCCAUCCGGCCGAAAGGCCGUCUGUGAGGAAAGUCCGAGCUCCAUAGAGCAGGGUGCUGGAUAACGUCCAGUGGAGGCGACUCCCAGGAAAGUGCAACAGAAAUAUACCGCCGCCCAGAUGGGCGGUAAGGGUGCAAAGGCGAGGUAAGAGCUCACCGCCUGCCUGGUGACAGGUAGGGUCCCUGUAAACCCCACCCGGAGCAAGACCGAAUAGAAAACCAUACGGCUGCUCGUCGUGUUUUCGGGUAGGUCGCGUGAGGCGUUUGGUAACAAACGUCCAAGAAAGAUGAUCGUCCACGACAGAACUCGGCUUAUAGGAGGACUC
This 330-nucleotide RNase P RNA is filed under the name chicken gut metagenome. RNAcentral describes it as "Bacterial RNase P class A". It matches the Rfam family "Bacterial RNase P class A". From Rfam's summary of the family: Ribonuclease P (RNase P) is a ubiquitous endoribonuclease, found in archaea, bacteria and eukarya as well as chloroplasts and mitochondria. Its best characterised activity is the generation of mature 5'-ends of tRNAs by cleaving the 5'-leader elements of precursor-tRNAs. The record is from RNAcentral.